AACGAACGCUGGCGGCAGGCUUAACACAUGCAAGUCGAACGCGUGCAGCAAUGCACGAGUGGCGCACGGGUGAGUAACGCGUGGAUAUCUGCCUUUUGGUUCGGAAUAACCCCGGGAAACUGGGGCUAAUACCGGAUGGUUCCUGCGGGAUAAAGAUUUAUCGCCAAAAGAUGAGUCCGCGUACGAUUAGCUAGUUGGUGAGGUAAUGGCUCACCAAGGCAACGAUCGUUAGCUGGUCUGAGAGGACGAUCAGCCACACUGGAACUGAGACACGGUCCAGACUCCUACGGGAGGCAGCAGUAGGGAAUAUUGCGCAAUGGGCGAAAGCCUGACGCAGCGACGCCGCGUGAGGGACGAAGGUCUUCGGAUUGUAAACCUCUUUCAGCAGGGACGAAGCGAAAGUGACUGUACCUGCAGAAGAAGCACCGGCUAACUACGUGCCAGCAGCCGCGGU
RNAcentral lists this ribosomal RNA (454 nucleotides) under uncultured bacterium. RNAcentral's name for it is "bacterial SSU rRNA". It matches the Rfam family "Bacterial small subunit ribosomal RNA", at positions 29 to 521 of the family's 1533-position model. The record is from RNAcentral.